RNAcentral lists this ribosomal RNA (421 nucleotides) under uncultured bacterium. RNAcentral's name for it is "bacterial SSU rRNA". It matches the Rfam family "Bacterial small subunit ribosomal RNA", at positions 917 to 1341 of the family's 1533-position model. The record is from RNAcentral.
GGGCCCGCACAAGCGGUGGAGCAUGUGGUUUAAUUCGAUGAUACGCGAGGAACCUUACCAGGACUUAAAUGUAAGUUGCAUGAUUCAGAAAUGAAUCUUUCUUCGGACUACUUACAAGGUGCUGCAUGGUUGUCGUCAGCUCGUGCCGUGAGGUGUUAGGUUAAGUCCUGCAACGAGCGCAACCCCUAUUCUUAGUUGCCAUCAAGUAAAGUUGGGAACUCUAGCGAAACUGCCGGUGCAAACCGAGAGGAAGGUGGGGAUGACGUCAAAUCAUCACGGCCCUUACGUUCUGGGCUACACACGUGCUACAAUGGUCGGUACAGAAAGCAGCCACUAUGCGAAUAGGAGCUAAUCUUUAAAACCGAUCUCAGUUCGGAUCGCAGUCUGCAACUCGACUGCGUGAAGCUGGAAUCGCUAGUAA